Molecule: ribosomal RNA, 206 nt
Filed under: uncultured bacterium
Lineage: Bacteria
Description: partial 16S ribosomal RNA
Rfam family: Bacterial small subunit ribosomal RNA
Source: RNAcentral
AGAUUGCAGGCUGCAACUCGCCUGCAUGAAGUCGGAAUUGCUAGUAAUCGCAGAUCAGCAUGCUGCGGUGAAUACGUUCCCGGGCCUUGUACGCACCGCCCGUCACACCAUGGGAGUCGGUAACACCCGAAGUCGGUAGCCUAACCGUAAGGAGGGCGCCGCCGAAGGUGGGAUUGAUGACUGGGGUGAAGUCGUAACAAGGUAAC